AGGUAUCUGCCUAGUAGUGGGGGGACAACCUGGUGAAAACCAGGCUAAUACCGCAUAAGAUCUACGGAUGAAAGGAGGCCUCUUCUUGAAAGCUUUCGCUAUUAGAUGAGCCUAUGUCAGAUUAGCUAGUUGGUAGGGUAAUGGCCUACCAAGGCGACGAUCUGUAGCUGGUCUGAGAGGAUGAUCAGCCACACUGGGACUGAGACACGGCCCAG
This 215-nucleotide ribosomal RNA is filed under the name uncultured bacterium. Its description in RNAcentral is "partial 16S ribosomal RNA". It matches the Rfam family "Bacterial small subunit ribosomal RNA", at positions 119 to 334 of the family's 1533-position model. The record is from RNAcentral.